CUUCCAUCUGGAAGAAGUCUGGAGACAGGUGCUGCAUGGCUGUCGUCAGCUCGUGUCGUGAGAUGUUGGGUUAAGUCCCGCAACGAGCGCAACCCUUGCCUUUAGUUGCCAGCAGUUCGGCUGGGCACUCUAAAGGGACUGCCGGUGUUAAACCGGAGGAAGGUGGGGAUGACGUCAAGUCCUCAUGGCCUUUAUGACCAGGGCUACACACGUACUACAAUGGCCGAUACAAAGGGCAGCGACACUGCGAGGUGAAGCCAAUCCCGUAAAAUCGGUCUCAGUCCGGAUUGGAGCCUGCAACUCGACUCCAUGGAGUUGGAAUCGCUAGUAAUCGUGAAUCAGAAUGUCACGGUGAAUACGUUCCCGGGCCCGUU
This 374-nucleotide ribosomal RNA is filed under the name uncultured Desulfobulbus sp. RNAcentral describes it as "bacterial SSU rRNA". It matches the Rfam family "Bacterial small subunit ribosomal RNA", at positions 1014 to 1380 of the family's 1533-position model. Lineage: Bacteria; Pseudomonadati; Thermodesulfobacteriota; Desulfobulbia; Desulfobulbales; Desulfobulbaceae. The record is from RNAcentral.